GCCUGGGGUUACGGCCGCUCGGAGGCAGCUGCGGGUCUGGGGCCUCCCAAAACCUCUUCUCCGGGGCAUCUGCAAAGUGGAAAGCUUUGCCCGCUAGUGCCUUGCCAUUCAGAACCCAUCUGAGUGGCACCGGCAGGCUCUCGUUUGCUUGCUGUUUGCUGGAACAUUUGGAGAUAGGAACUGCCAUAAUUUCGGAGGAAACUGUGACGUUGUUACAAACGAGGAGCAUCUCCAUAUGUAGAUGGGCAUUAAAAUGCUGAGGAAGUGGGAGGUUAACGGGGACUCAUUUUAUACUUCACUUGAUUGAAAGAAUAAAGGAUGAUUUAAAACCUUAAUUGCUGCUCUGUUUAUACUUCAUACAGUAUUCAUUUAUAUUGUAGCAGAGCAACCAGUUUUCCAGUUGUAAGUUUGAUGCCGGUGCAGAACUUGGUUUCUGUGUGCAGUGUGUGGAUCCCUUAUGAUCAGACAUGGUGCAGGCAAGCUGCGCGCUGAGCGAAGUGCUAACGUGUCUGGACACAGCAUGCAAAUCCCAGAACAGUUGUUUUCCAUGGCGUCCCUUGAGAACAAGGAAAGAAUUCACACUUCACACCCACUUCUAAGGAGAUGUGGAUCUUUAUCAAGGCUGUAGAGUGCUGAUUACUACAUUUAACUGCUGUAUAAUCAAUUUGAGAAGUAAACACAAAGAGACAAGUAACCACUCUCUCAGUUCUUGAGCAUUGGAGGAAUGGACAUGAAUGUGAGUGGGGAGUCAUCUGUUUGCUAUCAAGCCUUUUUUUUUCCUUACUCCCUACUGUAAGGCGAAAGGACAGCUUCUCUAUAGGUAGAAGUGAAGGCAGAGGCACAGUGAUGGUUCCACACUUUCUGUGCCCUAUCCCUUCUGCCAGUCCUUUCACACUGUGAGUCUGAGGCAGAAGGAUGGAUGAAAGUCAAACAAUGUUAAGUAUUUCAUGGAUAAUGUAAAGAGCAAGAAUUCUGUAGGUCCUGGAUGAGCUGGGGAGGAAGAAAUAAGAAAGUCAGGCAAGUAUCCAUCCUUAACAUCUUGCUGCAUAUUUAUUUGUUUGUUUGAAAUGCCGUGGUCUGCAAACAAAUAAAGAAUUUCAGUCAUUAAUCAAAGAAAAGCACAUGGCUUGUGGUAUGUCAGGAAAGUGAGAUUUGUUUUUUUGGAACACAACCAGCAGCUCUUGUGUUUUGGAUUGAUAAGAAUGGUUUAUGCUGUUCCCUGGAACAGAACAUAGGAACAUAAGAACAGAUAGUUUGUGUGAGAUUAAAAGUCACCUAAAUCAGUAAUCUGUCUUUGACAAUGGCAGAUGCUUUUGGAAAUAGAAUAGGAAAUCUGACAUCUCCGAGUGCCAUUUCUACUAGAUGCUCUACCAGGUUAUAAAAUGAGUUUGAGGCUGAGUUCAUGACACACUUGGUAGUCUUCCAUUGGUUUGUCUAACAGAGUUUGGAUCCAAUUUAUUAGUUUUGGCAUACAACAAACCUGUAUCAAUUAGUGCCACA
This 1500-nucleotide long non-coding RNA is filed under the name Pavo cristatus (Indian peafowl). RNAcentral describes it as "lncRNA (ENSPSTG00000017830.1)". Lineage: Eukaryota; Metazoa; Chordata; Aves; Galliformes; Phasianidae. The record is from RNAcentral.